Long non-coding RNA from Mauremys reevesii (Reeves's turtle), 615 nucleotides. RefSeq lists it as uncharacterized. The record is from RefSeq and is a predicted model, not a curated record. NCBI's taxonomy places the organism in Eukaryota, Metazoa, Chordata, Testudines, Geoemydidae. The transcript is spliced from 4 exons.
CAUUGCAAGGGUUAAGAGCCUGGACUCAUCUAUUCAUCUUGAAGCAGCAGCUUACAGCAUUGUUAUGCUUUUUAUGUUACCACAGGAUCUAGAGGCCCCAUUGUGCUAGGCAGCUAAGAAUCUACUUUCCUAAAAGAAAAUCCAGUGCGGCUCCCAGAACAGGAUUAUUGAGAUCUCACUGCUACGGGAGUCUGAAGACAGAUGGAUCGCCCUGUACUUGGAGCACUAAGUAUAAUCUGGUGAUACAGGUGCCGCAAAGUGAACCCCAAAGCUGGGUACACAGGCACAGCCUCUGCAAAGCCUGCUGAAGAGCUCUCCUCCCCAUCAUCAAGCAGGGUCCCGAGCGAUGCUCUAACAUCACACCACGCGUCCCUCCCUGGGAACCCAAUCUCCUGAGCAAAGGGCUGAGGUCCUACCAUCAAAAUGGUAUCGGAUUUCUUCAAACCCAGCCGGUCCUCUCGCAUGCCUUUCCUGGUGUGAGCACCAUCCAAACCUUCCAACACUAACAAUUUGCUUGUGAGACGCUGUAAUUCACUCUUGCAAUGGAGUGUAAAGGGACUCUGCAGGGAUACCUAUACAUAAUUGUAUUUAAAUGAUUGAUCAGAGAACUUUAAA